GUAUCCAAUAAAAGAUCAAUCCCAAAGUCUAUUUUCCUAUCUAGAGGAAUAUCCAAUAGAUUUUUCGAAAACACUUCAAGAAAUUCAUUAAACACCGGGACAGAUUGCAAAGAAGUACUUUCAAAAUUGGAACCCUUAACCCAAACUAAAUGGUAUAGACAUACUUUGGAAAUCAAAUAUUGGACUCUAAGAUUUGAAAUAAACUUUCCUAUAGGUAAUAGAG
This 223-nucleotide long non-coding RNA is filed under the name Capsicum annuum. RNAcentral's name for it is "long non-coding RNA (CANN_LNC007080)". Lineage: Eukaryota; Viridiplantae; Streptophyta; Magnoliopsida; Solanales; Solanaceae. The record is from RNAcentral.